Molecule: long non-coding RNA, 666 nt
Filed under: Anser brachyrhynchus (Pink-footed goose)
Lineage: Eukaryota; Metazoa; Chordata; Aves; Anseriformes; Anatidae
Description: lncRNA (ENSABRG00000016406.1)
Source: RNAcentral
GGCCCACAGACUGGUAUUUUGCCAUAACAUCCCACUCCACGAGAGCUCUCAGACUGGAUGCAUAGGUGGAAUAAGAGAUGAUUUCUUUAUGUAUGAGCGUAGUGAUUAAUGUUUACCUGACAAGAAAUUUUGGUGCUUUCCAUUCUCUGGAACAGGUCCAAAUUGAGAGUGUGUGAAAGCCUGAAGACGGAUCGGUAAAGAAGAUAAUGUGGGCUCAGGUUCUCUCCAACAAAGAGGAAAUUUGAAAAUGGUUUUCCUUGAUGUCAGGCUACUGAGUGGAAGUUAUUUCCCUGGGGACGAAGACAGUGAAGGAAUGCAAGGCUCAUCAUUUCUCUUCUUUCCAGAGAGACCACAUGAGAAUGAGAUGAGCAGAUGACCAUCCCUACACAUAGGGGUGAUCUAAAAACCACCAUUACCUCUAUCACAGAAUUACAGAGUCACAGAGUCACAGAGUCACAGAGUCACAGAAUCAAAGAAUGGUUGAGAUUGGAAGAGAACUCUGGAGGUCAACACCCCUUUUUAGGCAAGACCACCUACAGCAGGUGCUCAGGACCAUGUCCAGAAGGCUCUUGAAGAUCUCCAAGGAGACUUCACAACCUCUCUGGGCAACCUGUGCCAGUGCUUCGUCACCCACAUAAUAAAGAAGUGCUUCCUGAUGUUGAGACA